This 347-nucleotide unclassified non-coding RNA is filed under the name soil metagenome. RNAcentral's name for it is "partial contains 5.8S ribosomal RNA, internal transcribed spacer 2, and large subunit ribosomal RNA". The stretch from base 2 to 121 matches the Rfam family "5.8S ribosomal RNA", at positions 35 to 154 of the family's 154-position model. The record is from RNAcentral.
GGAUGAAGAACGCAGCGAAAUGCGAUACGUAAUGUGAAUUGCAGAAUUCAGUGAAUCAUCGAGUCUUUGAACGCACAUUGCGCCCCCUGGUAUUCCGGGGGGCAUGCCUGUCCGAGCGUCAUUGCUGCCCUCAAGCACGGCUUGUGUGUUGGGCCCCGUCCUCCGAUCCCGGGGGACGGGCCCGAAAGGCAGCGGCGGCACCGCGUCCGGUCCUCGAGCGUAUGGGGCUUUGUCACCCGCUCUGUAGGCCCGGCCGGCGCUUGCCGAUCAACCCAAAUUUUUAUCCAGGUUGACCUCGGAUCAGGUAGGGAUACCCGCUGAACUUAAGCAUAUCAAUAAGCGGAGGA